Non-coding RNA from Misgurnus anguillicaudatus (oriental weatherfish), 789 nucleotides. Lineage: Eukaryota; Metazoa; Chordata; Actinopteri; Cypriniformes; Cobitidae. The record is from RefSeq and is a predicted model, not a curated record.
GACUCAGAGAGACGACUUCGGCGCGAAUCACAAACUGCUGUCUAGUCACGAGGCGAAUUUGUUGUGACGUGAUCUUGUUUGAACCCUCGUUUUGUCAUGUCCGCUUGAUGUCCCCUUGGAAUUCUGUUGAGGGCCCCUGGUUGAGAAACAUUGUCUUGAGGGUCGAUACAAUGUUUGGCUUUUCCUCUCCCGUGGUGAUAUUGGGGUCAUCUCCAUUAUACCGCCAUGCUGUAUAUCUGGAAUACGUGUGAGGGUAUUUUUCCUGUUUGACAACAUUCAUUGUUUGCAUGCCUGUGGGUGCCGUCAUAAACCUGAAGGACCAGCACAUUAACCUUCUCAAAUGACAGCAUUGAUGUGAACCGCACCCUUCAGUGCACCUGUUCCUGGUUCACCUCCAAGUUGAAGUGUUCGGAUUUAGUGAAGGAGCUUUGCUGCCAUCUAGUGGGAAGGCAGAUAUGUGCAUCAUUUGUGGGCCCUGUGGUGUAACUUCACUACUGGACUCACCUGCAUUAUGAACACAGCUCCAUCUACAGGCUCAGUGGGCUAAAUGUUACCAUUUAUCUUGUCUUACCGACACCUAAAGAAAAAACGUUUUAAUGGUUUCACAUAAAAACAUAAUUUAUAUAAUUUCAUAUUUAUGUAGUUUUUUUCUUAGAUUGACAAAUUUCUUGAAGUAAACAUCUUAGGUCUAAACAUAAAAAAAUCACUGUUAAGGCAUGUUAUGUUCCCUGAAUGGUGUUGGAAACUAUAAGAUGCACACUAUCUGGAUUUUACAUUUAAAGAAAAUUA